This 832-nucleotide non-coding RNA is filed under the name Eupetaurus cinereus (woolly flying squirrel). The record is from RNAcentral. Lineage: Eukaryota; Metazoa; Chordata; Mammalia; Rodentia; Sciuridae.
CAGCCUUUUUAUUGGCUUAUAGUAAACUUACACAUGCAAGCAUCCCCGCCCCAGUGAGAAUGCCCUCUAUAUCAAAUUAAUUGAUCAAAAGGAGCAGGUAUCAAGUUCACUAAUUUUAAGUAGCUCACAACACCUUGCUACACCACACCCCCACGGGACACAGCAGUGAUUAAGAUUAAGUCUAUAAACGAAAGUUUGACUAAGUUAUACUAUUCAAAGGGUUGGUAAAUUUCGUGCCAGCCACCGCGGUCAUACGAUUAACCCUAGUCAAUAAAAUGCGGCGUAAAGCGUGGUUAAGAAUAUUCAUACCAAUAAGACUGAGCUUAGACUAAGCUGUAAAAAGCCCUAGUCAUAAUAAAAAUAUUAUACGAAAGUAGUCUUAAUAGCCCUGAAUCCACGAUAGCUAAGACCCAAACUGGGAUUAGAUACCCCACUAUGCUUAGCCCUAAACACCAGUAUUUAAUUAACAAAACUACUCGCCAGAGUACUACUAGCCAUUGCUUAAAACUCAAAGGACUUGGCGGUGCUUUACAUCCCUCUAGAGGAGCCUGUUCUAUAAUCGAUAAACCCCGAUAAACCUCACCACCCUUUGCACUAUCAGCCUAUAUACCGCCAUCUUCAGCAAACCCUACUAAGGUCUUACAGUAAGCACAAUAAUUAAGACAUAAAAACGUUAGGUCAAGGUGUAGCCUAUAGGGUGGAAAGAAAUGGGCUACAUUUUCUACACUCCUAGAACAACGCAACGAUAGCUUUUAUGAAACUACAAAAGCCCAAGGCGGAUUUAGUAGUAAGCUAAGAAUAGAGAGCUUAGCUGAAUCGGGCAAUAAAGCAC